GGGGGGGGGGGGCGGGGGGCCUGGGACAGGCAAGGAGAGCGCGGGGGAGAGGAGCUGGCUCUUCUUGGAUGAGUGGCGAACGGGUGAGUAACGCGUAGGUAACCUGCCUUGUAGCGGGGGAUAACUAUUGGAAACGAUAGCUAAUACCGCAUAACAAUGGAUGACACAUGUCAUUUAUUUGAAAGGGGCAAUUGCUCCACUACAAGAUGGACCUGCGUUGUAUUAGCUAGUAGGUGAGGUAAUGGCUCACCUAGGCGACGAUACAUAGCCGACCUGAGAGGGUGAUCGGCCACACUGGGACUGAGACACGGCCCAGACUCCUACGGGAGGCAGCAGUAGGGAAUCUUCGGCAAUGGGGGCAACCCUGACCGAGCAACGCCGCGUGAGUGAAGAAGGUUUUCGGAUCGUAAAGCUCUGUUGUAAGUCAAGAACGGGUGUGAGAGUGGAAAGUUCACACUGUGACGGUAGCUUACCAGAAAGGGACGGCUAACUACGUG
Molecule: ribosomal RNA, 497 nt
Filed under: uncultured bacterium
Lineage: Bacteria
Description: partial 16S ribosomal RNA
Rfam family: Bacterial small subunit ribosomal RNA
Source: RNAcentral